Long non-coding RNA from Oncorhynchus nerka (sockeye salmon), 3169 nucleotides. RefSeq lists it as uncharacterized. Lineage: Eukaryota; Metazoa; Chordata; Actinopteri; Salmoniformes; Salmonidae. The transcript is spliced from 2 exons. The record is from RefSeq and is a predicted model, not a curated record.
UAGUGGACACUUCUCUUGACAGGAGGACGGUAACGGUCAUAUAGCCUAGUAACUUUGGUGUGAUAUCUAGGGAUGAAACGGUUACCGGACGAGAGGUGUGCAGCAUGCAAACCCAGUGAUGCUACUGGUCCCUUAUCUACAGUUGUGACACAGGCACUCAGCAAGAAUUUAAAAGGCAGGCUGCUUAUGCACCCACAUCAAAGAAAAUGCUCAAGACCUCACUGCAGCCCUUUCAUAUUACAUUGCAAAGGACAUGAUGCCAUUUCAAAUUGUUGAGGCCUGGCUUUCUGAGGCUGAACAUUAUUUUCCAAGACUGAAAUCCCAAACCUGUACAACUAGGCUAAAGCUGAUGUGCCUUGAGCCAAACUUUUCCCAACAUGGUUUGCUGCAACUACUGACCUCUGGACCAGUGAAAGCAGGGGGUGGUUCAACCAUAAUUCAGCUUCACUAUCUAUUACCUCACCCCAGACUGGAACAGGAAUCAAACUGCCUGGAAACACAGUUCUUCCCAGAAUAUCACUCAGCUCACAAACAUGAUCAAGGCUUUUGAAGAGUUCAAGGCCUGCCAUCAUCUGGUCCAAGGCUUCUUACGGAGCUGGAAGAGAAGGAGAUAACUGAGAGAAAAGCAAGCUGCCCUCAACAUGCCACAGAAAGCUCUGAUCCAUGAUGUGCUGACCUGAUGGAUCUACACACAAGAUGCUUGAGCGUUUCCUCAGCCAACAGCAGCCAGUCUGUGCGACACUGGCUGGAGAAAGAGGAACAUGGCAUCUGAUGCCCAAGGACGCUGACAUAAGUGUCAUGGAGCAACUGUGCCAGCUACUUGAACCUCUGAAGUUUACAGAUGAACUUGCCUCAGAGACACGAGUGACACUGUCAGCCAUCAAGCCUGUCCUGGACCACAUCACCCGUGAUGUUCUGGUGGAAAAGGAUACGGAGCCAUCCCUGACCAAUGAGAUAAAAAGGGUAAUGAGAGAAGACCUUAACAGAGAAGGCAAAGAGAGUCAUGCACAUGGCUUGUUACAUUGACGCCUACGUCAAAAGGAGCUUUUUAGAUGAGCCUGAGGCUGCAAAAGUUAACACUGACAGCUGUGUCCAGGAGGCCUUGAAGCUGGCAGCUGCACAAGUCAGGGAAGAACCACAAAGCACCAGCAGCACCUCCACCACCACCCCCACAGCGGUAUUGGAAAGGCUGGGUUGCUGAGAAAGAUUACCUCGCUGGCCAUGGCAGAACACUGACAUUCCUGUCUUGCAGGAUAUCACGCAUAGAACGAGCAGUAUGGCUGGUGGCAUUGCUGGAGGGUCAUGUCAGGAUGAGCCUGCAUGAAGGGUACCACAUGAGGGAGGAGGAUGUCUUCCCUGUAACGCACAGCGUUGAGAUUACCUGCAAUGACAACAAGCUCAGUCCGAUGAUGCUGUGACACACUGCCCCAGACCAUGACGGAUCCUCCACCUCCAAAUCAAUCGAACUCCAGAGUACAGGCCUCGGUGUAACGCUCAUUCCUUCAACGAUAAAUGCGAAUCCAACCAUCACCCCUGGUGAGGAAAAACCGUGACUCGUGAGUGAAGAGCACUUUUUGCCAGUCCUGUCUGGUCCAGCGACGGUGGGUUUGUUCCCAUAGGCGACGUUGUUGCCGGUGAUGUCUGGUGAGGACCUGCCUUACAACAGGCCUACAAGCCCUCAGUCCAGCCUCUCUCAGCCUAUUGCAGACAGUCUGAACACUGAUGGAGGGAUUGUGCGUUCCUGGUGUAACUCGGGCAGUUGUUGUUGCCAUCCUGUACCUGUCCCGCAGGCAGGUGUGAUGUUCAGAUGUACCGAUCCUGUGCAGGUGUUGUUACACGUGGUCUGCCACUGCGAGGACGAUCAGCUGUCCGUCCUGUCUCCCUGUAGCGCUGUCACCGUAGGUGUGUGUGUGUGUGUGUCCUGUGUAUCCAGUUUGUGUCCAGUGUGUGUAUGUCCGAUGUGUGUUUUCCACUCAAAUCAAAUCAAAUUUAUUUAUAUAGCCCUUCGUACAUCAGCUGAUAUCUCAAAGUGCUGUACAGAAACCCAGCCUAAAACCCCAAACAGCAAACAAUGCAGGUGUAAAAGCACGGUGGCUAGGAAAAACUCCCUAGAAAGGCCAAAACCUAGGAAGAAACCUAGAAAGGAACCAGGCUAUGUGGGGUGGCCAGUCCUCUUCUGGCUGUGCCGGGUAGAGAUUAUAACAGAACAUGACCAAGAUGUUCAAAUGUUCAUAAAUGACCAGCAUGGUCGAAUAAUAAUAAGGCAGAACAGUUGAAACUGGAGCAGCAGCACAGUCAGGUGGACUGGGGACAGCAAGGAGUCAUCAUGUCAGGUAGUCCUGGGGCACGGUCCUAGGGCUCAGGUCCUCCGAGAGAGAGAAAGAAAGAGAGAAUUAGAGAGAGCAUAUGUGGGGUGGCCAGUCCUCUUCUGGCUGUGCCGGGUGGAGAUUAUAACAGAACGUGGCCAAGAUGUUCAAAUGUUCAUAAAUGACCAGCAUGGUUGAAUAAUAGUAAGGCAGAACAGUUGAAACUGGAGCAGCAGCAUGGCUGCACAGCAUUCCACUGUGUCCUGUUUGUGUCCACACACACACUGGACACACCUCUACAUACUUGAGUUUCUCCAGUCUGCAGUGGGGAUUCCCCAGUCCAGCAGAAAGCAGUCUGACUCCUGAAUCUUUCAGGUCAUUGUUAUUCACAUCCAGCUCUCUCAGGUGUAAGCGAUUUUGACUUCAGAGCUGAGAUCAGAGAAGCACAGCCUUCCUCUGUUACUAGACAGCCUGCAAAGAGUAAAAUCAUAUUAAAACCACACUGACAGUGAAGAUAACAUUUGAAAUGUGACUCUGUACUCCAGCAUUUUGGAUUAAAGAUCAAAUGUUUCAUAUGAGGUGACAGUAGAUAAUGUCACCUUUUAUUUGAGGGCAUUUCCAUACAUAUCUGUUUCACCGUUUAGAAAUGAAAGCACUUCAUGUAUCUAGUCCCCCUAUUUGAAUAAGUCACACAUAUUCUGACAAAUUCACUUCUAGUGUAUUAAACCUGCACUAGGGAAAAUUUUACCUCUCAUAGCCACAUGGUUAAUGUUAUUAAUUUAAUGUUAAUGCACACAAAGUGCAUAGUGCUAAUAAUUUAAUUUGAUGGUUGUUGAUUUUCAAUAUUAAACUUGACUAAAUGA